AGUAGACCUUACAGUGAAAUGCUGAAUACAACAGGUGUAGUAGACCUUACAGUGAAAUGCUGAAUACAACAGGUGUAGUAGACAUUACAGUGGAAUGCUGAAUACAACAGGUGGAGUAGACCUUACAGUGGAAUGCUGAAUACAACAGGUGGAGUAGACCUUACAGUGGAAUGCUGAAUACAACAGGUGGAGUAGACCUUACAGUGGAAUGCUGAAUACAACAGGUGGAGUAGACCUUACAGUGGAAUGCUGAAUACAACAGGUGGAGUAGACCUUACAGUGGAAUGCUGAAUACAACAGGUGGAGUAGACCUUACAGUGGAAUGCUGAAUACAACAGGUGUAGUAGACCUUACAGUGGAAUGCUGAAUACAAC
This is a long non-coding RNA of Oncorhynchus keta (chum salmon), 374 nucleotides long. RefSeq lists it as uncharacterized. Lineage: Eukaryota; Metazoa; Chordata; Actinopteri; Salmoniformes; Salmonidae. The record is from RefSeq and is a predicted model, not a curated record. The transcript has 3 exons.